RNAcentral lists this ribosomal RNA (547 nucleotides) under uncultured Glaciimonas sp. RNAcentral's name for it is "bacterial SSU rRNA". It matches the Rfam family "Bacterial small subunit ribosomal RNA", at positions 519 to 1064 of the family's 1533-position model. Lineage: Bacteria; Pseudomonadati; Pseudomonadota; Betaproteobacteria; Burkholderiales; Oxalobacteraceae. The record is from RNAcentral.
GGUAAUACGUAGGGUGCAAGCGUUAAUCGGAAUUACUGGGCGUAAAGCGUGCGCAGGCGGUUGUGUAAGACAGGUGUGAAAUCCCCGGGCUUAACCUGGGAAUGGCAUUUGUGACUGCACGGCUAGAGUGUGUCAGAGGGGGGUAGAAUUCCACGUGUAGCAGUGAAAUGCGUAGAGAUGUGGAGGAAUACCGAUGGCGAAGGCAGCCCCCUGGGAUAACACUGACGCUCAUGCACGAAAGCGUGGGGAGCAAACAGGAUUAGAUACCCUGGUAGUCCACGCCCUAAACGAUGUCUACUAGUUGUCGGGUCUUAAUUGACUUGGUAACGCAGCUAACGCGUGAAGUAGACCGCCUGGGGAGUACGGUCGCAAGAUUAAAACUCAAAGGAAUUGACGGGGACCCGCACAAGCGGUGGAUGAUGUGGAUUAAUUCGAUGCAACGCGAAAAACCUUACCUACCCUUGACAUGGCUGGAAUCCUUGAGAGAUCAGGGAGUGCUUGAAAGAGAACCAGUACACAGGUGCUGCAUGGCUGUCGUCAGCUCGUG